AACGUACGCUGGCGGCACGCCUAACACAUGCAAGUCGAACGAAGUAGCAAUACUUAGUGGCAGACGGGUGAGUAACAUGUGGGUAUCUGCCCUUUGGCCUGGAAUAACACGAGGAAACUUGUGCUAAUACCGGAUAAGUCUUUACGGAGAAAGCUUUAUGCACCAUUGGAUGAGCCCGCACUUGAUUAGUUUGUUGGUGGGGUAAUGGCCUACCAAGACUGUGAUCAAUAGCUGAUUUGAGAGGAUGAUCAGCCACAUUGGGACUGAGACACGGCCCAAACUCCUACGGGAGGCAGCAGUGGGGAAUCUUGCACAAUGGAGGAAACUCUGAUGCAGCGAUGCCGCGUGAGUGAAGAAGGCCCUUGGGUUGUAAAGCUCUUUCGUCGGGGAAGAAAAUGACUGUACCCGAAUAAGAAGGUCCGGCUAACUUCGUGCCAGCAGCCGCGGUAAUACGAAGGGACCUAGCGUAGUUCGGAAUUACUGGGCUUAAAGAAUUCGUAGGUGGUUGAAAAAGUUAGUGGUGAAAUCCCAGAGCUUAACUCUGGAACUGCCAUUAAAACUUUUCAGCUAGAGUAUGAUAGAGGAAAGCAGAAUUUCUAGUGUAGAGGUGAAAUUCGUAGAUAUUAGAAAGAAUACCAAUUGCGAAGGCAGCUUUCUGGAUCAUUACUGACACUGAGGAACGAAAGCAUGGGUAGCGAAGAGGAUUAGAUACCCUCGUAGUCCAUGCCGUAAACGAUGUGUGUUAGACGUUGGAAAUUUAUUUUCAGUGUCGCAGCGAAAGCGAUAAACACACCGCCUGGGGAGUACGACCGCAAGGUUAAAACUCAAAUGAAUUGACGGGGACCCGCACAAGUAGUGGAGCAUGUGGUUUAAUUCGAAGAUACGCGCAGAACCUUACCAACACUUGACAUGUUCGUCGCGACUCUAAGAGAUUAGAGUUUUCGGUUCGGCCGGACGAAACACAGGUGCUGCAUGGCUGUCGUCAGCUCGUGUCGUGAGAUGUUGGGUUAAGUCCCGCAACGAGCGCAACCCUCACUUUUAGUUGCCAUCAUUAAGUUGGGCACUCUGAAAGAACUGCCAGUGAUAAGCUGGAGGAAGGUGGGGAUGACGUCAAGUCCUCAUGGCCCUUACGUGUUGGGCUACACACGUGCUACAAUGGUAUCUACAACAGGAAGCAAGACUGCGAGGUCAAGCAAAUCCUUAAAAGAUACCUCAGUUCGGAUUGCACUCUGCAACUCGAGUGCAUGAAGCUGGAAUUACUAGUAAUCGUGGAUCAGCGUGCCACGGUGAAUGCGUUCCCGGGUCU
RNAcentral lists this ribosomal RNA (1306 nucleotides) under uncultured bacterium. RNAcentral's name for it is "bacterial SSU rRNA". It matches the Rfam family "Bacterial small subunit ribosomal RNA", at positions 28 to 1381 of the family's 1533-position model. The record is from RNAcentral.